Molecule: ribosomal RNA, 483 nt
Filed under: uncultured bacterium
Lineage: Bacteria
Description: partial 16S ribosomal RNA
Rfam family: Bacterial small subunit ribosomal RNA
Source: RNAcentral
UUGAACGCUGGCGGCAGGCCUAACACAUGCAAGUCGAGCGGAUGAAGGGAGCUUGCUCCUGGAUUCAGCGGCGGACGGGUGAGUAAUGCCUAGGAAUCUGCCUGGUAGUGGGGGAUAACGUCCGGAAACGGGCGCUAAUACCGCAUACGUCCUGAGGGAGAAAGUGGGGGAUCUUCGGACCUCACGCUAUCAGAUGAGCCUAGGUCGGAUUAGCUAGUUGGUGGGGUAAAGGCCUACCAAGGCGACGAUCCGUAACUGGUCUGAGAGGAUGAUCAGUCACACUGGAACUGAGACACGGUCCAGACUCCUACGGGAGGCAGCAGUGGGGAAUAUUGGACAAUGGGCGAAAGCCUGAUCCAGCCAUGCCGCGUGUGUGAAGAAGGUCUUCGGAUUGUAAAGCACUUUAAGUUGGGAGGAAGGGCAGUAAGUUAAUACCUUGCUGUUUUGACGUUACCAACAGAAUAAGCACCGACUAACUUCGUG